Molecule: small nucleolar RNA, 138 nt
Organism: Phragmites australis (common reed)
Lineage: Eukaryota; Viridiplantae; Streptophyta; Magnoliopsida; Poales; Poaceae
Product: small nucleolar RNA Z247
Exons: 1
Source: RefSeq, a predicted model, not a curated record
CCUCUGGAUGACAAAGAGAUGGUAUCAUACAUCCUUUUUGGUCUUGAUGUCAACUUCAAUCCAAUCGUGUCAGCUAUCGUGGCAUGAGUUGAACAGUCUCAGUCAAUGAGUUGUAUGCCUAGUUAUUAAGCUUUGAAA